RNAcentral lists this ribosomal RNA (1376 nucleotides) under metagenome. Its description in RNAcentral is "SSU rRNA". It matches the Rfam family "Eukaryotic small subunit ribosomal RNA", at positions 288 to 1706 of the family's 1831-position model. The record is from RNAcentral.
AGAUAAAUCAUUCAAGUUUCUGCCCUAUCAGCUUUCGAUGGUAGUGUAUUGGACUACCAUGGCAGUAACGGGUAACGAAGAAUUAGGGUUCGAUUUCGGAGAGGGAGCAUGAGAAACGGCUACCACAUCUAAGGAAGGCAGCAGGCGCGUAAAUUACCCAAUCCUGACUCAGGGAGGUAGUGACAAGAAAUAGCAAACCGGGAACCUCAUGGUUUCACGGUAUUGCAAUGAGAACAAUUUAAAACCCUUAGCGAGAAUCAAGUGGAGGACAAGUCUGGUGCCAGCACCCGCGGUAAUUCCAGCUCCACUAGCGUAUAUUAAAGUUGUUGCAGUUAAAAAGCUCGUAGUUGAACCUCUGUCUGGGGCUAGUUUUGGCUUUGGUCAGGCUAGUUCUAGGCAUCCGCCUACAAGACUUAGAGGGCAUUCAGUUGUUCACUAGGAGGAGUAGGCAUUUUACUUUGAAAAAAUUAGAGUGUUUAAGGCAGGCAAUCGCCCGCAUAUAUUAGCAUGGAAUAAUAGAAUAGGACACUUUUCCAUUUCGUUGGUUAUUGGAAUCGUGUAAUGAUUAAUAGGGACAGUUGUGGGCAUUUGUAUUUAAUUGUCAGAGGUGAAAUUCUUGGAUUUAUUAAAGACAAACUAACGCGAAAGCAUUUGCCAAGGAUGUUUUCAUUAAUCAAGAACGAAAGUUAGGGGAUCAAAGACGAUCAGAUACCGUCCUAGUCUUAACUAUAAACUAUUCCGACUCAAUGUUUGACUGGCUUAUAUAACCAGUUGAGCGUUGUAUGAGAAAUCAAAGUCUUUAGGUUCUGGGGGGAGUAUGGUUGCAAAGCUGAAACUUAAAGGAAUUGACGGAAGAGCACAACCAGGAGUGGAUUCUGCGGCUUAAUUUGACUCAACACGGGGAAACUUACCAGGUUAAAACAAUAGUGGGAUUGACAGUUUGAGAGCGCUUUCUUGAUUGGUUGGGUGGUGGUGCAUGGCCGUUCUUAGUUGGUGGAGUGAUUUGUCUGCUUAAUUGCGUUAACGAACGAGACCUUAACCUGCUUACUAGACUGGCGAUCAUCAAUCGUUAGCUCUUCUUAGAGGGACUUUGGUUGUUUUAACUCCAAGGAAGUUUGAGGCAAUAACAGGUCUGUGAUGCCCUUAGAUAUCCUGGGCCGCACGCGUCAUACAAUGACUAGUUCAGAAAGUUUUCUCCUGACCCGAAAGGGGAUGGGUAAUCUUGAUAAUACUAGUCGUGUUAGGGAUCGAUCUUUGCAAUUAAGAUCUUGAACGAGGAAUUCCUAGUAAGUGCGGUUCAUCAGACCGUACUGAUUACGUCCCUGCUCUUUGUACACACCGCCCGUCGCUUCUACCGAGUGGGUGGUCCGGUGAGA